RNAcentral lists this ribosomal RNA (253 nucleotides) under uncultured bacterium. RNAcentral's name for it is "partial 16S ribosomal RNA". It matches the Rfam family "Bacterial small subunit ribosomal RNA", at positions 524 to 776 of the family's 1533-position model. The record is from RNAcentral.
UACGGGGGGGGCAAGCGUUGUUCGGAAUUACUGGGCGUAAAGGGCGCGUAGGCGGGUGCUCAAGUCUGUGGUGAAAUCCUCCGGCUCAACCGGAGAACUGCCAUGGAUACUGGGUGCCUCGAGGGUGAUAGGGGUAUGCGGAACUAUCGGUGGAGCGGUGAAAUGCGUUGAUAUCGAUAGGAACUCCGGUGGCGAAGGCGACAUACUGGAUCACUUCUGACGCUGAGGCGCGAAAGCCAGGGGAGCGAACGGG